Molecule: ribosomal RNA, 201 nt
Filed under: Escherichia coli
Lineage: Bacteria; Pseudomonadati; Pseudomonadota; Gammaproteobacteria; Enterobacterales; Enterobacteriaceae
Description: partial 16S ribosomal RNA
Rfam family: Bacterial small subunit ribosomal RNA
Source: RNAcentral
GCUGACGAGUGGCGGACGGGUGAGUAAUGUCUGGGAAACUGCCUGAUGGAGGGGGAUAACUACUGGAAACGGUAGCUAAUACCGCAUAACGUCGCAAGACCAAAGAGGGGGACCUUCGGGCCUCUUGCCAUCGGAUGUGCCCAGAUGGGAUUAGCUUGUUGGUGGGGUAACGGCUCACCAAGGCGACGAUCCCUAGCUGGU